GACGAACGCUGGCGGCGUGCCUAAUACAUGCAAGUUGAGCGCUGAAGGUUGGUACUUGUACCAACUGGAUGAGCAGCGAACGGGUGAGUAACGCGUGGGGAAUCUGCCUUUGAGCGGGGGACAACAUUUGGAAACGAAUGCUAAUACCGCAUAACAACUUUUAACACAAGUUUUAAGUUUGAAAGUUGCAAUUGCAUCACUCAAAGAUGAUCCCGCGUUGUAUUAGCUAGUUGGUGAGGUAAAGGCUCACCAAGGCGAUGGUACAUAGCCGACCUGAGAGGGUGAUCGGCCACAUUGGGACUGAGACACGGCCCAAACUCCUACGGGAGGCAGCAGUAGGGAAUCUUCGGCAAUGGACGAAAGUCUGACCGAGCAACGCCGCGUGAGUGAAGAAGGUUUUCGGAUCGUAAAACUCUGUUGGUAGAGAAGAACGUUGGUGAGAGUGGAAAGCUCAUCAAGUGACGGUAACUACCCAGAAAGGGACGGCUAACUACGUG
RNAcentral lists this ribosomal RNA (497 nucleotides) under uncultured bacterium. Its description in RNAcentral is "partial 16S ribosomal RNA". It matches the Rfam family "Bacterial small subunit ribosomal RNA", at positions 28 to 507 of the family's 1533-position model. The record is from RNAcentral.